RNAcentral lists this ribosomal RNA (253 nucleotides) under uncultured bacterium. RNAcentral's name for it is "partial 16S ribosomal RNA". It matches the Rfam family "Bacterial small subunit ribosomal RNA", at positions 524 to 776 of the family's 1533-position model. The record is from RNAcentral.
UACGAGUGCCUCGAGCGUUAUCCGGAAUCAUUGGGCGUAAAGGGUGUGUAGGUGGUCAUAUUAGUCUUCUGUUAAAUUCUUCGGCUCAACCGGGGGCAUGCAGAGGAAACGGUAUGACUUGACGAUGUAAGAGGUCUCUGGAACUCAUAGUGUAGCGGUGAAAUGCGUUGAUAUUAUGAGGAACACCGGUGGCGAAGGCGGCUACCUGGACAGAAACUGACGCUGAGGCGCGAAAGCUAGGGGAGCAAACAGG